AGGAGCCUGAAGGACAAAGGCUUGUGACUGAGGAGCUGCAAUCUCACCUGGGAACUGAGGCUGUACAGGAAUUCAUGCAGGAUAUGAUACUAUAUGAGAUUGUACCUGCUGCACAUUCCCUGCUAAAAUCAGAAGGCCAAGAAGACAGGAAAGGGCUUGAAAAAGAAGUCCUGGAGUCUGAGAAUGACCGCCUGUCCUGGAUUAUGGAAGAAGAUGAAGAUGAGUCUGAAUUACAGAUGUCGUGUUAUCAC
Bombina bombina (fire-bellied toad) is the source of this 251-nucleotide long non-coding RNA. RefSeq lists it as uncharacterized. The transcript has 4 exons. The record is from RefSeq and is a predicted model, not a curated record. Lineage: Eukaryota; Metazoa; Chordata; Amphibia; Anura; Bombinatoridae.